This is an RNA transcript of Panthera uncia (snow leopard), 2486 nucleotides long. It is a transcript of the gene named nudix hydrolase 16 like 1, with no coding region annotated. The transcript has 4 exons. NCBI's taxonomy places the organism in Eukaryota, Metazoa, Chordata, Mammalia, Carnivora, Felidae. The record is from RefSeq and is a predicted model, not a curated record.
GGGUUGGGGCGUGGGGCAUCUUUCUUCUGUGCCCCCUGCCAGCCCUGGGUUUGGGUUGUGCACUGUGGCCUGGAGACACGGUCCUCUCUGGAGGGCCCUUCCCCUCACCAACAUCUCUUCAGACACGGUCACUUGCCUUAGGGAUCUGGCUUCUCCCUGGCAACUGUGGUGGCCCGUUUGAAUCCUGGUAGAGGCCAUGGAUGGGGAGAGAGAGAGCCUCCCUCUUUAGAUCCUUACUCCCCUGUGUGUGACACGAUACCGGCACGACCCGACGUGUGAAUGAGCUCCCGGUGGGUCCUUACCAACACUUGCCUGCCCUCUGCCCCCGCUGUCUUCUGCUGAGGGCAACCUUCUGUGCCCCAGAGCUUGCCCUGGCUCACUGCAUGGUGAGUGCACAUGGUGGUUCCUUCACUCAGCAAAUCUGUACCCACCGUGGGAGGAAAACGGAGUGUGGGCCAACUAGUGGUCGAGUGGCAUCGUUGCUCUCCCCUGGACAAUGUUCCCCAUGCUCCUGAGCCCCAGCGAUGAUUCCCUUCAGCAGCAGACACAGGUAUGUACCUCAGGGCCUCUUCCGUGAAAGUUGGGAGGUUUUCUGUUGUGGACACUGGUCAGGAGACAGGGUGGAAGUCUGGGGUGAGAUCCUGGCUCUGGCACCAGCUGCUGGGUGCCCUUAAGGCCAGUCCUGUUCCUCUCUGCCCCAGGUUCCUCCUUGGUAAAUUGGGGAGAGCCCAUUUCCUCCAACCGUCCCUGGCAUAUGGUGUCUGACUGGGAGGAUGCUUGGCAGGCUGCGCCAGGAGGGAUUUAAGGUACUUCCCAGCACGCUGGCUGAGUAGCAGCCCCAGGGCUGUGCGUGGACACGGACGGUGGGGGCAGCUCGAACUAUGCCAGGCCCCGCUUUCCUUGCUCUUCUGGAGUCGACCAGCAGUGACCUUGGACAGGAGUGCUUGGCUGGCGCGCGCGCAGGGAAAGGUCUUGCCCACUGGUCGCCAGGCUCCCGUAAGCCCUCCUGGGGGAGUCGCCGGCAGGGAGCGAGAGGCGAGGGCUGGUAGUGGGCAGCCUGCGGGGCGGCGCCCCCAGGGAGGCGCUGGGGGAAGGCCCGGGACCCGGCGGCUCCUGCUAGUGACGGGCAGUCGGAGCCCCAGCCCUGCAGGCAGCGCUUGCCCGAGGCCCCCGCGACCGCGCUCGGUUCGGCUGGGCUCGACUGAGUUCGGCUGAGCUCGGCUGAGCCCGCUUGGCGCGGAGCCCCCUGGGCGUUGUGGUUCUCGCGGCCGGUGGGUGGGAGCGCGUGCCGUCCCUGCCUCUGCACACGCCCCUUCCGCGCCUCAACGACGCGUCGGGGCGCCGGGAUGGGCUCGGCCCCGACGGGCAUCAGCAAUUGGUGGAGAGGCGGGGCCCAGGGACGCGACUGCCUGCGGAUUGGUCGGACCUGGCGGGGGCGGGCCCGCGCAUGCACUUAAGGAGAGGCGCCCCGGUCGAGCCGGGGUAGUGCCAAGAUGUCGGCGGCAGUGCCGGAGCUGAAGCAGAUCAGCCGUGUGGAAGCUAUGCGCCUGGGGCCGGGCUGGAGCCACUCGUGCCACGCCAUGCUGUACGCCGCCAACCCCGGGCAGCUUUUCGGCCGCAUCCCUAUGCGCUUCUCGGUGCUGAUGCAGAUGCGCUUCGACGGGCUGCUGGGUUUCCCCGGGGGCUUCGUGGACCGGCGCUUUUGGUCUCUGGAGGACGGUCUGAACCGGGUGCUGGGCCUGGGCCUGGGCUGCCUGCGCCUCACGGAGGCCGACUACCUGAGCUCGCACCUGACCGAGGGCCCGCACCGCGUCGUGGCGCACCUGUACGCACGGCAGCUGACGCUGGAGCAGCUGCACGCCGUGGAAAUCAGCGCGGUGCAUUCGCGCGACCACGGCCUGGAGGUGGGGCCGCCGCCCGGGCCCCGCCCCCCGCCCCGGGGGUUGGCUCUGGCCCCGUGGAAGGCACCGAUGGGUGCUGGGGCUUGUGCGGGUUCCACUUUACACCCAAAAGGACCGAGUUGGUGGCUUUCCCAACUUUCUGAGCAACGCCUUUACCAGCACUGCCAAGUACCAGCUGCUCUUCGCCCUCAAGGUGCUCAACAUGAUGCCCGAGGAGAAGCUGGCUGAGGCUUUGGCUGCUGCCACAGAGAAGCAGAAGAAAGCCCUGGAGAAGCUCCUCCCAUCUUCCUCCUGAGUCCACAGGCCGCUCCAGGACCUGGUAUGGAAGCACUGGCCGAGUGUGCAGAAUGACAACAGCAGAGCCACCACAGAUGGGAAGGUCACCACUGGCCGUCUCCUACGGCCCUCUGUCUGCAAAGACUCCUCAGUGAAGCUAAACCAGUUUGCACGGCACCUGCUUGGUCUGGUAAGGAGAGCUCUGCUCCGGCCCAGCCUGAGCGUCUGUUCCACCUUAAAGCCUCAGUGAAGCGGUCAGCACGUGUGGGCAAAGGCACUUCGUUCUGUAAAUAAAAUACCUGUACCUCG